Molecule: non-coding RNA, 209 nt
Organism: Paramuricea clavata
Lineage: Eukaryota; Metazoa; Cnidaria; Anthozoa; Malacalcyonacea; Plexauridae
Source: the annotation of a GenBank genome assembly
UAAGUGUUCAUCAAAACACAUGCAUGCAACAGAAUUAUCAUGUGACAAUGAUGCUAAUCAUUAUAUUUUAUCCCUCUUGUCCUGACAAUAUAUUGCUGGCAAUGCAUCAUACAAUAAAUCAACACUCUGUCAGGGAAUUAUUUUCACAAUUAUGUCUAUUUAAUGUAUUUUGUUAAAUAUUAACCAUUUUUACAUGUUUAUAAAAUCAG